Molecule: non-coding RNA, 75 nt
Organism: Suillus spraguei
Lineage: Eukaryota; Fungi; Basidiomycota; Agaricomycetes; Boletales; Suillaceae
Source: the annotation of a GenBank genome assembly
GGUGUUGUGGCUUAGUGGUGAGAACACUGCACUUGUAACUAACUGAGGUCUUAGGUUCAAUUCCUGCCAACUGCA